UAACGACUCUCGGCAACGGAUAUCUCGGCUCUCGCAUCGAUGAAGAACGUAGCGAAAUGCGAUACUUGGUGUGAAUUGCAGAAUCCCGUGAACCAUCGAGUCUUUGAACGCAAGUUGCGCCCCAAGCCGUCAGGCCGAGGGCACGUCUGCCUGG
Molecule: ribosomal RNA, 154 nt
Filed under: Cleomella arborea
Lineage: Eukaryota; Viridiplantae; Streptophyta; Magnoliopsida; Brassicales; Cleomaceae
Also listed under: 6 other names
Description: 5.8S ribosomal RNA
Rfam family: 5.8S ribosomal RNA
About the family: 5.8S ribosomal RNA (5.8S rRNA) is a component of the large subunit of the eukaryotic ribosome.
Source: RNAcentral